Molecule: ribosomal RNA, 744 nt
Filed under: uncultured bacterium
Lineage: Bacteria
Description: bacterial SSU rRNA
Rfam family: Bacterial small subunit ribosomal RNA
Source: RNAcentral
ACGCUGGCGGCAGGCCUAACACAUGCAAGUCGAGCGGUAGAGAGAAGCUUGCUUCUCUUGAGAGCGGCGGACGGGUGAGUAAUGCCUAGGAAUCUGCCUGUAGUGGGGGAUAACGUCCGGAAACGGACGCUAAUACCGCAUACGUCCUACGGGAGAAAGCAGGGGACCUUCGGGCCUUGCGCUAUCAGAUGAGCCUAGGCCGGAUUAGCUAGUUGGUGGGGUAAUGGCUCACCAAGGCGACGAUCCGUAACUGGUCUGAGAGGAUGAUCAGUCACACUGGAACUGAGACACGGUCCAGACUCCUACGGGAGGCAGCAGUGGGGAAUAUUGGACAAUGGGCGAAAGCCUGAUCCAGCCAUGCCGCGUGUGUGAAGAAGGUCUUCGGAUUGUAAAGCACUUUAAGUUGGGGGGAAGGGCAGUAAAUUAAUACUUUGCUGUUUUGACGUUACCGACAGAAUAAGCACCGGCUAACUCUGUGCCAGCAGCCGCGGUAAUACAGAGGGUGCAAGCGUUAAUCGGAAUUACUGGGCGUAAAGCGCGCGUAGGUGGUUCGUUAAGUUGGAUGUGAAAUCCCCGGGCUCAACCUGGGAACUGCAUCCAAAACUGACGAGCUAGAGUAUGGUAGAGGGUGGUGGAAUUUCCUGUGUAGCGGUGAAAUGCGUAGAUAUAGGAAGGAACACCAGUGGCGAAGGCGACCACCUGGACUGAUACUGACACUGAGGUGCGAAAGCGUGGGGAGCAAAC